AGAGUUUGAUCAUGGCUCAGGACGAACGCUGGCGGCGCGCUUAACACAUGCAAGUCGAGCGAGAACCAGACCUUCGGGUCUGGGGACAGCGGCGAACGGGUGAGUAACACGUGGGUAAUCAACCCUCGGUACUGGGAUAGCCCGGGGAAACCCGGAUUAAUACCGGAUGGCCCUUUGGAUCUUCGGAUCUGACGGAAAAGGUAGCUUCGGCCUCCGACCGAGGACGAGCCCGCGGCGGAUUAGCUUGUUGGUGGGGUAACGGCCUACCAAGGCGGCGAUCCGUAGCUGGUCUGAGAGGACGAUCAGCCACACUGGGACUGAGACACGGCCCAGACUCCUACGGGAGGCAGCAGUGGGGAAUCUUGCGCUAAUGCGGGAAACCGUGACGCAGCGACGCCGCGUGAGGGAAGAAGGCCCUCGGGUUGUAAAGCCCUUUUCCCGGGGACGAAUCUGACGGUACCCGGGGAAGAAGCCCCGGCCAACUACGUGCCAGCAGCCGCGGUAAUAC
This 508-nucleotide ribosomal RNA is filed under the name uncultured bacterium. RNAcentral describes it as "bacterial SSU rRNA". It matches the Rfam family "Bacterial small subunit ribosomal RNA", at positions 8 to 526 of the family's 1533-position model. The record is from RNAcentral.